UACCAUCAUUUCAGAUUGAAAAGCUUUCCCAAACUGAUUUUUUCCUUAAAUUAUUUGAUGUCAUUUUGUUAGUCUGUUUAUAACAAAUGAAGGGGGAGGAUUAAGAUCUAAAUAUAACUAGGUAAAUUCUGCCAAAUUUGCAUGUCUAGGUCCUAUGUCAGCACUUCGUCGGUCAUUGUCUUAUGUCAAAUCAGAAUGGUUUUUGUUUAUGUGGAAAAUUAGUUUUUUAUAUUUCUAUGAGAGUUUUUGUAAGAUGUAUUGACUUUUUUGGAUUCAAGACGUUUAAAGUCUUGACAUAUCAGAAAGGUAUUACUUUGGUUGAAGACUGCAUGUUGCUCUCUAAAGCAUUUUAAUUCUAUGUGUUCUGGACUGUCUAGCUGACAUUUACAUCAAAUAUUCUUCUAUUCAUUUGUAGUAAUUAGUUUGCGUUCAUUUUAAGCUAAAAUACAGUGUAUCUGCAAGAUUAAAACUUGCAGAUCAGAGUUAGUUAAUGUCAGUACUUCAUCGCAUAGUAACUAAACAGUCCUUACAAUUUUGAAAAGCAUAUCAUAUUUAAACAUGUUUAAUCACAAUAUAUGAUUGAAAUGUCUUUCCACAGUCAGGUGUCUAUAUUCAAGUUGUUAAGUGUUUGUUAAAAACCAUGUAUUCGUAGUCCAGUGAUUGAAUGUCGUUCCUUAACCACGAGUGCGAUUCGAAUUGUUAAAUGCCUGUUCCAAACCAGGUGUAAUCCAGUGGUUAGUUGCUUGUUCCAAACCAGGUGUAAUCCAGUGGUUAGUUGCUUGUUCCAGAACAGAAGUCACUAUUCGAGUUGUUGAUUGCCUAUCCCUAACCAACUGUAGUCCAGUGGUUAUUAGCUUAUCCAAAUCCAGUUGUUAAAAGCCUGUGCAAAAUCAAAUGUUCGUACUUCGGUGGUUAGAUAUCUGUCUAGAACCAAGUGUAUGUAGUCAAAUGGAUAAAUGUUUGUACCAAAUCAGAUUUAGUAGUCUAUUUGCCUGUCUUGAACUAGAAGUAGGUAGUCCAGUGCUUUAAUGUCUGUCAAAAAUCAGUCGUCUUAAGACCAGUGGUUAAAUGCAUGUCCCAAACUCGUGUGUCAUUUGCACCAAUACCACAUCUCCUUUUUUAAAUUAAUUUCAAAACACAGUGAGAAAAAGUGUUAGGUUCUUCCUUGUCAUCGUAGGAAUCGUCUUAAAUCUCGACUCUUUUCCACAUUUGACCAAAACAAAUUUUGUUUCAACAUAAUACACAAUACGUUCAUCAUUUUACAAUACUUAUGACUAAAAAGCAUCUGUUAAACUUAUUUUUUGUUUU
This is a long non-coding RNA of Mytilus californianus (California mussel), 1308 nucleotides long. RefSeq lists it as uncharacterized. Lineage: Eukaryota; Metazoa; Mollusca; Bivalvia; Mytilida; Mytilidae. The transcript is spliced from 3 exons. The record is from RefSeq and is a predicted model, not a curated record.